This 445-nucleotide ribosomal RNA is filed under the name uncultured bacterium. RNAcentral's name for it is "partial 16S ribosomal RNA". It matches the Rfam family "Bacterial small subunit ribosomal RNA", at positions 354 to 796 of the family's 1533-position model. The record is from RNAcentral.
GUGAGGAAUAUUGGACAAUGGGCGCAAGCCUGAUCCAGCCAUGCCGCGUGCAGGAAGACGCAUCUAUGGUGUGUAAAUUGCUUUUGUACGGGAAGAAACACUCCCUCGUGAGGGAGCUUGACGGUACCGUAAGAAUAAGGAUCGGCUAACUCCGUGCCAGCAGCCGCGGUAAUACGGAGGAUCCAAGCGUUAUCCGGAAUCAUUGGGUUUCAAGGGUCCGUAGGCGGUUUAAUAAGUCAGUGGUGAAAGCCCAUCGCUCAACGAUGGAACGGCCAUUGAUACUGGUAGACUUGAAUUACAAGGAAGUAACUAGAAUAUGUAGUGUAGCGGUGAAAUGCUUAGAUAUUACAUGGAAUACCAAUUGCGAAGGCAGGUUACUACUUGUGGAUUGACGCUGAUGGACGAAAGCGUGGGGAGCGAACAGGAUUAGAAACCCUUGUAGUCC